RNAcentral lists this RNase P RNA (384 nucleotides) under human gut metagenome. RNAcentral's name for it is "Bacterial RNase P class A". It matches the Rfam family "Bacterial RNase P class A". From Rfam's summary of the family: Ribonuclease P (RNase P) is a ubiquitous endoribonuclease, found in archaea, bacteria and eukarya as well as chloroplasts and mitochondria. Its best characterised activity is the generation of mature 5'-ends of tRNAs by cleaving the 5'-leader elements of precursor-tRNAs. Cellular RNase Ps are ribonucleoproteins. The record is from RNAcentral.
AGUAAGCCAGACGGCCGCGGCGGGCCGAAAGGUCCGGUGAGGAAAGUCCGGGCUCCGUAGGGCAGGGUGCCGGGUAACUCCCGGUGGAGGCGACUCUAAGGAUAGUGCAACAGAAAUAAACCGCCCGGCACAUAUGAUUACCGUUGAGUCUCAUCCUCUACGGUAAUCAUAUGUGCCGGGUAAGGAUGGAAAGGCGAGGUAAGAGCUCACCAGCGGCCGGGAGACCGGCCGGCUAUGUAAACCCCACCUGGUGCAACACUAAGCAAUGCGGUUCUGCCGCGCGUUUGCCCGACGUUAUUUGCUGACGUGGCUUGAGGCGGUUAGAAAUAUCCGCCCUAGAUAGAUGGCUGUCUAAUACAGAACCCGGCUUACAGACUUACUCAU